RNAcentral lists this ribosomal RNA (451 nucleotides) under uncultured bacterium. Its description in RNAcentral is "partial 16S ribosomal RNA". It matches the Rfam family "Bacterial small subunit ribosomal RNA", at positions 29 to 523 of the family's 1533-position model. The record is from RNAcentral.
AGCGAACGCUGGCGGCAGGCUUAACACAUGCAAGUCGAGCGGGCGUAGCAAUACGUCAGCGGCAGACGGGUGAGUAACGCGUGGGAACGUACCUUUUGGUUCGGAACAACACAGGGAAACUUGUGCUAAUACCGGAUAAACCCUUACGGGGAAAGAUUUAUCGCCGAAAGAACGGCCAGCAGCUGAUUAGCUUGUUGGUAGGGUGAUGGCCUACACAGGCGACGAUCAGUAGCUGGUCUGAGAGGAUGAUCAGCCAAAUUGGGACUGAGACACGGCCCAAACUCCUACGGGAGGCGGCAGUGGGGAAUGUUGGACAAGGGGGGCAUACCUGAUCCAGCCAUGCCGCGUGAGUAAUGAAGGCCCUAGGGUUGUAAAGCUCCUUUGUGCGGGACGAGAAUGACGGUACCGCAAGAAUAAGCCCCGGCUAACUCUGUGCCAGCCGCCGCGGUAA